GCUAGGUGUGGUGGCUCAUGCCUGUAAUCCCAGUGGCUUGGGAGGCUGAGGCAGGAGGAUUGUGAGUUAAAAGCCAGCCUCAGCAAUUUAGUGAGGCCCUAAACAACUUAGCGAGACCCUGUCUCAA
RNAcentral lists this small RNA (127 nucleotides) under Marmota monax (woodchuck). The record is from RNAcentral. Lineage: Eukaryota; Metazoa; Chordata; Mammalia; Rodentia; Sciuridae.